RNAcentral lists this ribosomal RNA (224 nucleotides) under uncultured bacterium. RNAcentral describes it as "partial 16S ribosomal RNA". It matches the Rfam family "Bacterial small subunit ribosomal RNA", at positions 524 to 748 of the family's 1533-position model. The record is from RNAcentral.
GACAGAGGGUGCAAACGUUGCUCGGAAUUACUGGGCGUAAAGCGCGUGUAGGCGGUUUCGCACGUCCGGUGUGAAAGCCCAGGGCUCAACCCUGGAAGUGCACUGGAUACGACGGAGCUGGAGUACUGAAGAGGAGAGCGGAAUUCCCGGUGUAGAGGUGAAAUUCGUAGAUAUCGGGAGGAACACCAGUGGCGAAGGCGGCUCUCUGGGCGAUACUGACGCUG